Molecule: long non-coding RNA, 384 nt
Organism: Neofelis nebulosa (Clouded leopard)
Lineage: Eukaryota; Metazoa; Chordata; Mammalia; Carnivora; Felidae
Exons: 3
Source: RefSeq, a predicted model, not a curated record
AGAUAUGGCUGCUGGGGCCCAGAGAGCAAAGUGGACUUAUCCAAGGUCACACACUGGAUUCCUGACAGAGCAGGAUUAAACUCAGGCACAUGUUGGGAUGCACUUUCAGCCCCUUUGAAGUUAGGCAUGAUCAUGUGGCUAGUGCUGGCCAAUCAGAUGAGAACAGGAGUGCUGCUUGUGUCCUUGCCUGUGGGCAGAUAUCAAAUGCAGAAAGACCUGCUAGGAGACAGUUGCAACUGGCUGAAAAACGUUAACUUUGAAGGAGACCAAUGAGGGGCAGAUUUCCAGUCUCUCCAGCAGAUAGAGUCCACCAGACCUGCUGAUGUAGGGGAGGGGAGCUUGAGCGAAAGGGAUCUGAUGAGGAAGCUCUUCCAGGCUUGAGCA